Molecule: unclassified non-coding RNA, 410 nt
Filed under: fungal sp.
Lineage: Eukaryota; Fungi
Description: partial internal transcribed spacer region
Rfam family: Eukaryotic small subunit ribosomal RNA (bases 1-46)
Source: RNAcentral
AAGUCGUAACAAGGUUUCCGUAGGUGAACCUGCGGAAGGAUCAUUAAUACGCUUUUGUUUGUAACAAAACAAAACGUUUUAAACUCCAAAAGAAAUAGUGGAAAUAUAACUUCCGGAUGCGAAUGUUGGGAACUGAGUAAAAUCGGUUCUUUGGAAAGGGACUUCAAGCAAUUGACACUUCAGAGUAGAGCAGUGAGGUGAAAUUCUCUUUAUGAGAGUUUGGUUCUGAAAAACAUUUGUAUCCGGUUAUCAUAAUCUGUUCUACAAGUUCUAUCAAACAAUAAACCCCAUGUACAACAACUUGAACUAAACAUUUUUUUGUUAUCUACUUGCACACUUGUUGUGUGAGAAGCUACAAAGAAAAAACCUGAACUUAAGAACAACUCUUAACAACGGAUAUCUUGGUUCUC